GACCGACGGGAGCUUGCUCCCUUAGGUCAGCGGCGGACGGGUGAGUAACACGUGGGUAACCUGCCUGUAAGACUGGGAUAACUCCGGGAAACCGGGGCUAAUACCGGAUGCUUGAUUGAGCCGCAUGGUUCAAUUAUAAAAGGUGGCUUUCAGCUACCACUUACAGAUGGACCCGCGGCGCAUUAGCUAGUUGGUGAGGUAACGGCUCACCAAGGCGACGAUGCGUAGCCGACCUGAGAGGGUGAUCGGCCACACUGGGACUGAGACACGGCCCAGACUCCUACGGGAGGCAGCAGUAGGGAAUCUUCCGCAAUGGACGAAAGUCUGACGGAGCAACGCCGCGUGAGUGAUGAAGGUUUUCGGAUCGUAAAACUCUGUUGUUAGGGAAGAACAAGUACCGUUCGAAUAGGGCGGCACCUUGACGGUACCUAACCAGAAAGCCACGGCUAACUACGUGCCAGCAGCCGCGGUAAUACGUAGGUGGCAAGCGUUGUCCGGAAUUAUUGGGCGUAAAGCGCGCGCAGGCGGUUUCUUAAGUCUGAUGUGAAAGCCCCCGGCUCAACCGGGGAGGGUCAUUGGAAACUGGGGAACUUGAGUGCAGAAGAGGAGAGUGGAAUUCCACGUGUAGCGGUGAAAUGCGUCAGCGAUGUGGAGGAACACCAGUGGCGAAGGCGACUCUCUGGUCUGUAAC
This 691-nucleotide ribosomal RNA is filed under the name uncultured Bacilli bacterium. Its description in RNAcentral is "bacterial SSU rRNA". It matches the Rfam family "Bacterial small subunit ribosomal RNA", at positions 68 to 740 of the family's 1533-position model. Lineage: Bacteria; Bacillati; Bacillota; Bacilli. The record is from RNAcentral.